UGAACGCGAAGAACCUUACCUGGGUUUGACAUAUGCCGGAAAGCUCCAGAGAUGGAGCCCCUUUUGUCGGGAUACAGGUGGUGCAUGGCUGUCGUCAGCUCGUGUCGUGAGAUGUUGGGUUAAGUCCCGCAACGAGCGCAACCCUCGUCCUAUGUUGCCAGCGGAUAAUGCCGGGGACUCAUAGGAGACUGCCGGGGUCAACUCGGAGGAAGGUGGGGAUGACGUCAAGUCAUCAUGCCCCUUAUGUCCAGGGCUUCACGCAUGCUACAAUGGCCGGUACAAAGGGCUGCGAUAUCGCAAGAUGGAGCGAAUCCCAAAAAGCCGGUCUCAGUUCGGAUUGGGGUCUGCAACUCGACCCCAUGAAGUCGGAGUCGCUAGUAAUCGCAGAUCAGCAACGCUGCGGUGAAUACGUUCCCGGGUCUUGUACACACGCAC
This 435-nucleotide ribosomal RNA is filed under the name bacterium CPTAC2D. RNAcentral describes it as "bacterial SSU rRNA". It matches the Rfam family "Bacterial small subunit ribosomal RNA", at positions 956 to 1395 of the family's 1533-position model. The record is from RNAcentral.